AUGCAAGUCGAACGGUGAACCAGGAGCUUGCUCUUGGGGAUCAGUGGCGAACGGGUGAGUAACACGUGAGCAACCUGCCCCUGACUCUGGGAUAAGCGCUGGAAACGGCGUCUAAUACUGGAUACGAACCACGAAGGCAUCUUCAGUGGUUGGAAAGAUUUUUUGGUUGGGGAUGGGCUCGCGGCCUAUCAGCUUGUUGGUGAGGUAAUGGCUCACCAAGGCGUCGACGGGUAGCCGGCCUGAGAGGGUGACCGGCCACACUGGGACUGAGACACGGCCCAGACUCCUACGGGAGGCAGCAGUGGGGAAUAUUGCACAAUGGGCGGAAGCCUGAUGCAGCAACGCCGCGUGAGGGAUGACGGCCUUCGGGUUGUAAACCUCUUUUAGCAGGGAAGAAGCGAAAGUGACGGUACCUGCAGAAAAAGCGCCGGCUAACUACGUGCCAGCAGCCGCGGUAAUACGUAGGGCGCAAGCGUUAUCCGGAAUUAUUGGGCGUAAAGAGCUCGUAGGCGGUUUGUCGCGUCUGCUGUGAAAUCCCGAGGCUCAACCUCGGGCCUGCAGUGGGUACGGGCAGACUAGAGUGCGGUAGGGGAGAUUGGAAUUCCUGGUGUAGCGGUGGAAUGCGCAGAUAUCAGGAGGAACACCGAUGGCGAAGGCAGAUCUCUGGGCCGUAACUGACGCUGAGGAGCGAAAGGGUGGGGAGCAAACAGGCUUAGAUACCCUGGUAGUCCACCCCGUAAACGUUGGGAACUAGUUGUGGGGUCCAUUCCACGGAUUCCGUGACGCAGCUAACGCAUUAAGUUCCCCGCCUGGGGAGUACGGCCGCAAGGCUAAAACUCAAAGGAAUUGACGGGGACCCGCACAAGCGGCGGAGCAUGCGGAUUAA
Molecule: ribosomal RNA, 886 nt
Filed under: Microbacterium hydrocarbonoxydans
Lineage: Bacteria; Bacillati; Actinomycetota; Actinomycetes; Micrococcales; Microbacteriaceae
Description: bacterial SSU rRNA
Rfam family: Bacterial small subunit ribosomal RNA
Source: RNAcentral